CAGCCGCCGCGGUAAAACGAACCGUGCAAACGUUACUCGGAAUCACUGGGCUUAAAGCGCACGUAGGCGGCGACAUAAGUUAGAGGUGAAAUCCCAUCGGCUCAACCGUGGAACUGCCUCUAAUACUGUGUUGCCUGAGGGAGAACGGGGCAUUCGGAACUUCCGGUGGAGCGGUGAAAUGUGCUGAUAUCGGAAGGAACGCCGGUGGCGAAAGCGGAAUGCUGGGUCUCUUCUGACGCUGAGGUGCGAAAGCUAGGGUAGCGAACGGGAUUAGAUACCCCCGUAGUCCCUGUCUCUUAUA
RNAcentral lists this ribosomal RNA (301 nucleotides) under uncultured bacterium. RNAcentral's name for it is "partial 16S ribosomal RNA". It matches the Rfam family "Bacterial small subunit ribosomal RNA", at positions 509 to 808 of the family's 1533-position model. The record is from RNAcentral.